This 235-nucleotide ribosomal RNA is filed under the name uncultured bacterium. Its description in RNAcentral is "partial 16S ribosomal RNA". It matches the Rfam family "Bacterial small subunit ribosomal RNA", at positions 96 to 334 of the family's 1533-position model. The record is from RNAcentral.
UGGCGGACGGGUGAGUAAUGUCUGGGAAACUGCCUGAUGGAGGGGGAUAACUACUGGAAACGGUAGCUAAUACCGCAUAACGUCGCAAGACCAAAGAGGGGGACCUUAGGGCCUCUUGCCAUCGGAUGUGCCCAGAUGGGAUUAGCUAGUAGGUGGGGUAACGGCUCACCUAGGCGACGAUCCCUAGCUGGUCUGAGAGGACGACCAGCCACACUGGAACUGAGACACGGUCCAG